UGGGGAAUAUUGCACAAUGGGCGAAAGCCUGAUGCAGCGACGCCGCGUGAGGGAAGAAGGUUUUCGGAUUGUAAACCUCUGUCUUCGGGGACGAUAAUGACGGUACCCGAGGAGGAAGCCACGGCUAACUACGUGCCAGCAGCCGCGGUAAAACGUAGGUGGCAAGCGUUGUCCGGAAUUACUGGGUGUAAAGGGAGCGCAGGCGGAAUGGUAAGUUGGACGUGAAAUCUAUGGGCUCAACCCAUAGCGUGCGUUCAAAACUAUUGUUCUUGAGUGAUGUAGAGGUAGGCGGAAUUCCCGGUGUAGCGGUGGAAUGCGUAGAUAUCGGGAGGAACACCAGUGGCGAAGGCGGCCUACUGGGCAUCAACUGACGCUGAGGCUCGAAAGUAUGGGGAGCAAA
This 400-nucleotide ribosomal RNA is filed under the name uncultured bacterium. RNAcentral's name for it is "bacterial SSU rRNA". It matches the Rfam family "Bacterial small subunit ribosomal RNA", at positions 355 to 772 of the family's 1533-position model. The record is from RNAcentral.